Molecule: ribosomal RNA, 920 nt
Filed under: uncultured organism
Description: bacterial SSU rRNA
Rfam family: Bacterial small subunit ribosomal RNA
Source: RNAcentral
GAAUUAUUGGGCGUAAAGCGUCUGUCGGCGGCAAUGCAAGUCUGGUGUGAAAUUUCAAUGCUUAACAAUUGAAUGCGUAUCGGAAACUGUAUUGCUAGAGUCUAAGAAGAGCCACUGGAAUUUCCGUUGUAGGGGUAAAAUCCGUAGAUAACGGAAGGAACACCAAAAGCGAAAGCAGGUGGCUGGCUUAGUACUGACGCUCAGAGACGAAAGCGUGGGGAGCGAACGGGAUUAGAUACCCCGGUAGUCCACGCUGUAAACGAUGAGUGCUAGGUAUUGGAGGGAUUUGACCCCCUUCAGUGCCCACAGCUAACGCGUUAAGCACUCCGCCUGGGGAGUACGGUCGCAAGACUAAAACUCAAAGGAAUAGACGGGGACCCGCACAAGCGGUGGAUCAUGUGGUUUAAUUCGACGAUAAGCGAGAAACCUCACCUAGACUUGACAUCUCGAGAAGGUUCUGGAAACAGAACUGUGCCGCAAGGAACUCGAUGACAGGUGCUGCAUGGUUGUCGUCAGCUCGUGCCCUGAGGUGUUCGGUUAAGUCCGUAAACGAGCGCAACCCUUGUCAUAUGUUGUAUUUCUCAUAUGAAACUGCCGGCUCCAAGCCGGAGGAAGGUAGGGAUGACGUCAAAUCAGCAUGGCCCUUAUGUCUAGGGCUACACACGUGAUACAAUGGGUCGUACAAUGGGUAGCCAAGGAGCAAUCCGGAGCCAAUCCCUAAAACGAUCCUCAGUUCGGAUUGAGGUCUGCAACUCGACCUCAUGAAGUUGGAAUCGCUAGUAACCGUGGAUCAUAACGCCACGGUGAAUAUGUUCCNCGGGUCUUGUACUCACCGCCCGUCACAUCACGGAAGGUGGAAGCACCCAAAGCACCCUUGAUAAUAGAGGGUACCACGGUGAUCCAUUGACUGGGAUGAAGUC